UGGGGAAUAUUGCACAAUGGGGAAACCCUGAUGCAGCGACGCCGCGUGAGCGAAGAAGGCCUUCGGGUCGUAAAGCUCUUUUAUGAGGGAAGAUAAUGACGGUACCUCAAGAAAAAGCCCCGGCUAACUACGUGCCAGCAGCCGCGGUAAUACGUAGGGGGCUAGCGUUGUCCGGAAUCACUGGGCGUAAAGGGUUCGCAGGCGGAAUAACAAGUCAGAUGUGAAAGGCAUGGGCUCAACCCAUGUAAGCAUUUGAAACUGUAAUUCUUGAGAAGUGGAGAGGUAAGUGGAAUUCCUAGUGUAGCGGUGAAAUGCGUAGAUAUUAGGAGGAAUACCUGUGGCGAAGGCGACUUACUGGACACAAAUCUGACGCUGAGGAACGAAAGCGUGGGUAGCAAACAGG
Molecule: ribosomal RNA, 403 nt
Filed under: Verrucomicrobiota bacterium
Lineage: Bacteria; Pseudomonadati; Verrucomicrobiota
Description: Verrucomicrobia bacterium partial 16S ribosomal RNA
Rfam family: Bacterial small subunit ribosomal RNA
Source: RNAcentral